UCAGCCUCUCUGUGCAUUAGAAUGCAUAUGUGACUAACUAACAGCCCCUUGAGGGCAGUUUCAGUGUUAGAAGUAACUAAACUCUUUGACUUUGUCAUCAGAUUUUUGAUCUCUUUUAUUUUUUAUAACUACAACGUUAAGUGGAAAUAAUAUCUUUAAAGUCCUUAAGGUGCCCAAGAAAGCUGUCCCACAAGAAAAAGAGCCUGGUACCGAACCCAAAAAACUGGAAUUAUUUCCAGGCAAAGUGCCCAAGGUGCCCAAGAAAGCCGCUCUGGAAGAGCCCGUGCCUGUAGCUGCUUCAAAAAAGCCAGAACCAGCACCAGCCCAAGCGCCUGAAGUGCCCAGGAAAACUACUCGAGAAGAAAAAGUACCUGUGGUCACUGCCAAAGCACCCGAGCCUCCAGCAGCCAGAGGUACCUGACUUGGUGGAUAACUUGACAGAGAAGAUGCUUAAUCCGCUUCUCUUGAGCGUUGUCCUGCCCUCUCUUGGCCUGUCUUUGUUUCAAAUCUGAGACUCUUGAAGUUGUGAAUGUUGGGUAAACUGUGCUGCAGCAUGUGAG
This 560-nucleotide long non-coding RNA is filed under the name Meleagris gallopavo (turkey). RNAcentral's name for it is "lncRNA (ENSMGAG00000020181.1)". Lineage: Eukaryota; Metazoa; Chordata; Aves; Galliformes; Phasianidae. The record is from RNAcentral.